This 303-nucleotide ribosomal RNA is filed under the name uncultured bacterium. RNAcentral's name for it is "partial 16S ribosomal RNA". It matches the Rfam family "Bacterial small subunit ribosomal RNA", at positions 507 to 809 of the family's 1533-position model. The record is from RNAcentral.
AGCAGUAGCCGCGGUAAAACGGAGGGUGCAAGCGUUAAUCGGAAUUACUGGGCGUAAAGCGCACGUAGGCGGCUUUGUAAGUUAGAGGUGAAAGCCCGGAGCUCAACUCCGGAAUUGCCUUUAAGACUGCAGAGCUAGCAGGUGAGAGAGGUGAGUGGAAUUCCGAGUGUAGAGGUGAAAUUCGUAGAUAUUCGGAAGAACACCAGUGGCGAAGGCGGCUCACUGGCUCAUACUGGACGCUGAGGUGCGAAAGCGUGGGGAGCAAACAGGAUUAGAUACCCGGGUAGCCCUGUCUCUUAUACA